GACGAACGCUGGCGGCGUGCUUUAUACAUGCAAGUUGAACGAGAAAGCAUUCUUCGGAGUGUGAGUAAAGUGGCGAACGGGUGAGUAACACGUGGGUAAUCUGCCCACGGGCUGGGGAUAACAUGCCUAACGGCGUGCUAAUACCGAAUAAUGCACUAAGAUGUAGGUUUUAGUGUUAAAGGUGUCUUUCGGGACAUUGCCUGUGGAUGAGCCUGCGCUCCAUUAGCUAGUUGGCAGGGUAAGAGCCUACCAAGGCGACGAUGGAUAGCCGGCCUGAGAGGGUGACCGGCCACACUGGGACUGAGAUACGGCCCAGACUCCUACGGGAGGCAGCAGUAAGGAAUAUUGCGCAAUGGAGGAAACUCUGACGCAGCAACGCCGCGUGGGUGAUGACGCUCUAUGGAGUGUAAAGCCCUGUUAGAAG
RNAcentral lists this ribosomal RNA (424 nucleotides) under uncultured bacterium. RNAcentral's name for it is "bacterial SSU rRNA". It matches the Rfam family "Bacterial small subunit ribosomal RNA", at positions 28 to 442 of the family's 1533-position model. The record is from RNAcentral.